Molecule: ribosomal RNA, 428 nt
Filed under: Bacillota bacterium
Lineage: Bacteria; Bacillati; Bacillota
Description: Firmicutes bacterium partial 16S ribosomal RNA
Rfam family: Bacterial small subunit ribosomal RNA
Source: RNAcentral
UGGGGAAUUGUUCGCAAUGGGCGCAAGCCUGACGACGCAACGCCGCGUGGAGGAUGAAGGUCUUCGGAUUGUAAACUCCUGUUGCUCGGGACGAAAAGCUUCGACCUAACACGUCGAAGUCUGACGGUACCGAGUGAGGAAGCCCCGGCUAACUCUGUGCCAGCAGCCGCGGUAAUACAGAGGGGGCAAGCGUUGUUCGGAAUUACUGGGCGUAAAGGGCGCGUAGGCGGCCUGCUAAGUCGAACGUGAAAUCCCUGGGCUCAACCCAGGAACUGCGUCCGAUACUGGUUGGCUUGAAUCCGGGAGAGGGAUGUGGAAUUCCAGGUGUAGCGGUGAAAUGCGUAGAUAUCUGGGGGAACACCGGUGGCGAAGGCGACAUCCUGGACCGGUAUUGACGCUGAGGCGCGAAAGCCAGGGGAGCAAACGGG